CGGGAUGUGGCUCAGCCUGGUAGAGCACCUGGUUCGGGACCAGGGGGUCGGCAGUUCAAAUCUGCCCAUCCCGACCA
This 77-nucleotide transfer RNA is filed under the name Desulfobacteraceae bacterium. RNAcentral describes it as "tRNA-Pro". It matches the Rfam family "tRNA". Rfam says of the family: Transfer RNA (tRNA) molecules are approximately 80 nucleotides in length. Their secondary structure includes four short double-helical elements and three loops (D, anti-codon, and T loops). Lineage: Bacteria; Pseudomonadati; Thermodesulfobacteriota; Desulfobacteria; Desulfobacterales; Desulfobacteraceae. The record is from RNAcentral.